CCAAAGGGACCAGCCCAGGCUGGAGAACAAACAUCCCCAUGGCACUUAGUGAGACAAGCUGUGUGAUCUUUCUUCAGCACUGCUCAGCCACCGGAGGGAGCAGAGCAGGAAGGAGAUAGAGAACUAAUCCCAAACCAGAAAUCAGCAGGAGAUUGGCUGCAACAAAAGGAGCAUAAGGGUGGACAGAGACUGGAGGGGGGUCAGGAGGAGGGAAAAUAAGGAGUGGGCGUGCUGGAAGGAAAACAAGUUGUAUGAGAUGACAGUUGGAGCAAAAUUAUAAUAAGAUCAAAAAUGAUUUUCCCCAGGGACUCUGUGUGUAGUGAUACUUCUGACAUACCGCUAAGGAUGAUUUUUGUUUACUUUUAUAGAUCUAAGCAGUUUUGUCCAUUUUUCAGAGAUUUACAAAAAUCUUUUUCCCCACAAUUUUUUCCUUCUGUCUUUCUCUAUGGCUGUCUCUGCUCUGUAAUGUUUAUAAUAGCAAACAUUUAGAAACAGACUAAACAAUAAUAAAGACAGUGAAAUUCAAUUUUGUUGGGUGACCAUUUAAGUGGAAGGAUCCCAUUUUUGUUUUAAAAACAUGUAAAUAUGGACAGAAAAAGCAUCUAAGGGAUAUUUGCCAACAUGGUUUCCUCCAGCAGUGCAUUCCCACUCUUCAGGCAGUGGGACCGAGAGCUGGAUCUGUGCACGGUGACUGGGUGGGGUCUGUUGUCUUUCCACCGUGUUGUUUGGUGCCAUCGCCAGUGUGCGUGGGCAGAAGCCAGCCUUGCUCCAGAACUUUGAUCAAGACAAGGAUACCCAGCUCAGGUCCUGGAGGCCCAUCUGCUCUAAAGGAGAGCUGAGUCCAGAGCCAAAGGGAACACACUGUACUCCUAAAAGAAAGGAAUUUACAUCAGCUGGCUAAUUGCAUCCAAUCCUCUGGAUUCGUGAUCAAGAAUACAGACCGUCCUGCCUACUGACGCUGAAGGUGUGAGUACAGUCAAACCCUUUGUAACAUGUUGCAUAAUUGUGGACUCAGAUAUACCACAAUCGAAGCAUUUCUCCUCAAACCCAAUUCCAUAAAGGAAAAGCCUGAUGAAAACCAAUUAAGGCUGAGACUGUAUUAACCUUGUCUCCGCAAGUCAGAGCUCUAAAAGAGUUUUCCAUGCAUUCAUUAAACAGAUACUUAUUGAAUAGCUAGUCUGUGCAAGGUACUGCACCAGGUACAGGGAAUAAAACAGUGACUUAGAGGCAUCUUCUGCCUCUGAAGACAUGUAGAGUCGUGUUGGGAUAAUCCGACAUGUCUCCAGGAAGCUAUCACACAGUUACAAACUGGAAAAAACAUCCUGAGAGAGAUGGAUAGUGGUGUCGUUUAAGAAGUGGAUAGCCCUGGGAAUCUGGUCAUGACACCACCCCUAACUUGAGUGAGUGUGGGCGUUUCACAACCACAAUGAGACUCAAUGUCUUCAUCUGUAAAAUGGAAAUUGUGAUAGUACAUUGACCUCAUCCAACUGCAGUCAGAAGUCAACGAGAUGACACAUCUGAAAUGCUUAGCACAGUGCCUGCCCUGCAGUAUGUGUUAAUGACUGUUAGGGAUUAUUACUGAUAUUUCUAAGAUGUGGGGGAGAGAGGGCACUUCCAGCUGGAGGGACAAGGUGGGAGUUCCUUUAGGGGGCAGCAUUUGAGCUGGAUCUUAAAGAGUGAGUUAGAUUUGGACUUAGGGAUGUGGCAGAGAGAACCAAGAAAAGAGGAGGCCAUGUGGGGGAUUAGUGAGCAGUUGAUGAUUUUUGUUGUGUUUUAUUGUUUGUUUUCCUAUGUAGCACAGACAGCUUGAAAAACAACAGUGGAGAAUUCAUGUUGAAGAGACAGGCUAGGGAAGAUGAUAAAGGAUCUUUAAUGCCAGGCUCAGGAAUCUGGGUUUAAUUUCAAAGACAUUCCUAUGACUAAAUUUUGGAUAAGGGAAUGGGAAAAAAAGUUAUAGUGUUCUUCAGGAAGAUUGGACUGGAAGCAAUGGGUAAGAACGAUGGAGGAGUGGGGAGAUACAUCUUGGAAAGCCAGUUAGAUGUCUAAACAAAAAGAAAAUGACACAGGUCUGCUUGCACGUCCCCUCCAAAUAUACACAGCCCACUGAGCUCAGAUGGAGCCCCAAAAUCUGCUCCAGGCAGCUAUUGGUACUUGAUCAGUGCUGCCUUGAAAGACGAAAUGUAUUAUUAUCCAUCCCUGAAGCAGGGCCACAACAGAAGAAUGAGAGGGCUUUGGCUGAUGUCCAUCCAGCAAACACAUCCUGCUCUCGAAUGGAAAGGGGCAAAAGAAACCUGACUUUUCUGACAGUCUCUGUGGGAUCCAACAGGAACAGCCGUCAUAAGCUGAAAAGUGAUAGCAAAGUCAAUUUUCAACCAUUAGAGAGGGAGGACUCAGUUUUUGGUUCAUACAGACAAACUGUUCUCUCCUGGUAUUUUCUAGGCAGGGCCGUGCACAACAGUCAAAUAGCUCCUUGGAAACUAGACAUUUGAGUAGAAGAGAGUUAUUUGAUUCAUAGUGGAUUUUGGUUUUCCACAAUACCUCUGUGCCCCAUCUAGUAAGAUCUGGUGGAAAUUACAAACUGUAGAAAUUCAACUCAGUGUCACAAUAACAGGAUGCACCUGUAGAUUUCGUAGAAUUGGCUGCAACAUUCUCUCAACCCCAGAUUGAGAGAAAUAAGACUGUUUGCAUAGCAUCAACUGGGGCGAAGUCUGAAGCCGUAUUAUGUACCUCUCAGUGAUGGAAGGUACCAACCAUGGCAGAUGCUGUCUACCCAACCACCCACUGAACACACAGGGAUUGAAGACCUCCAUGCUCCACUUCUCCUGCUCUGGUUGAUUUGCUAUUCGGGGAAUUAGCAAUUUGACAGAUGUGUUUGCAUUUAGUUGGGGAUUUUUCUAGUACUUAACCCCCGUAAUUAGAUUCCGGGCUCUUUGAGAGCAGGAGGUCCUUUUUAAUUUGUUUUUGAAUCUCCCAGACCCUGGGUGGAGUGCUUUGUUUCUGGAUUCUUAAUUGGUAUCCACUGAACUGAAUUACAUUAAAGGAGGCACCCAAGAGCAUGUGGACUAUGAAUAAAGUAAAAUGUGGGACCUCAACUGGAGAUUUCAGGUGCACAUCUAAGAGACAAAGGAUGAAAGGACAGAAAGGGCUGGGAAACCACAGGCCUGGGCAAACAACCUCUUAUUGAACCUAAAAAGAAUACCAACUAUGUAAACAACAGGCUCCCUGCACCACCCCUGGUCAUUGGAAACCGCUAUCCAAGAAGGCCAACGGUUCUCUUCUCUUUGGAUUCUGACUCUGAGAUCACAGCUCAGCAAAUCACACUGCUAGAGAAGGAGAGAGCGAGAUGAGAGAGCGAGGCCGCUUUUAUGUGGUGCAGCUGGUAAGGCAGAGCAGGCCUGAGUGUUCAAAGGACACUGCAGAACCUAUCAGUCAUUUCCCUUGUCAAAG
This 3447-nucleotide long non-coding RNA is filed under the name Equus caballus (horse). RNAcentral's name for it is "lncRNA (ENSECAG00000044065.1)". Lineage: Eukaryota; Metazoa; Chordata; Mammalia; Perissodactyla; Equidae. The record is from RNAcentral.